CUCUAGAGGUUAUUGUUUUAAGAUGGAGUCUGCAGUGUGGGUUUGGUGAGAGAUAUAGAUACAAAAGGAUUCUGCCAUGCUGCAUAUCUUUAUACUGAACAAGAGUGAAAGAAAGAGGUCUGUAAGCAAUACUGGCUGGACUCAUCUUUGAUUAGCCUUCCUAAAUGAUUAUGGGCUGGACAGAUAUGAAGUCUGUAGCUAGCCAAAACUAAAGACAGCUUGUUAUAUGAAGAUAUCUUUGAAGGUUGGUAUUGUUUCAUUUGAAAGUGUUUUAGUGAUGAAGACUUGCCCUUUAGAUCUGAUGAUUAGUUUUAUUGAUGCAAGGGAAAGCUGAAACUUCUGUUGGUGUAAUGUCUUGAGAAUGAUCUAGCAUUAAUUUAUUCUGUCAAGGAGAAGGGUCCUGGCCAGGGGCUUGCAAGCGAUUGCUGGUGUUGUAAAGUGUGUGAUGUAUCUCUUGCUGGGUUUUUUUCUUGUUUAUUAAUCAUGUGGAUGUACAGUUGUCAAAUGUUUCUUGGAGGCAUGUUUUCUGAAAACAGUUUUCUCAGAAUGAGGUGGAAAAAGAAGCUGUGUGCAUGCAGGGCAUCCUUGACCAUAAUGUGGAAGCUGGUGUCGUAGCAAAAGCAGAGUGGCAGAAUUGAUUUCUUUUCCAAGUGGUUUUGAGCUUUGUUGUUCUCUUUGAAAAACCAUGCUCUGUGUUCUCUUAUACUAAGUGCACAUGUGUGCAAGUGUAAAAUGGGGUUUGCUUUGGAUAAAUCUCUCUGACUACAGUAUUUUUUACUUGUACCCCAGUCUGUCAUUCUUAUUUCAGUCUUCAUAUAAUCAUUAUUUUGAAGUUACUUAUUUAAGUCAUUAUAUUGGGUAGUAAUUUAAGAUACUUUGUUUAUACUGCUUGCCAUUUAAAAACACAUUGACCAGAAAGUGAGUUUAUGUCAGUCUGUGUAAAUAAAUCUUGUAAUUCCCUA
Long non-coding RNA from Pezoporus flaviventris, 962 nucleotides. RefSeq lists it as uncharacterized. NCBI's taxonomy places the organism in Eukaryota, Metazoa, Chordata, Aves, Psittaciformes, Psittacidae. The record is from RefSeq and is a predicted model, not a curated record. The transcript has 2 exons.